GUGCUCUCUUUGGCAGCACAUAUACUAAAAAAUUGGAACCACACAGAGAAGAUUAGGAUGCACAAGGACACGCAAAUUCGUGAAGCGUUCCAUAUUAAA
Molecule: small nuclear RNA, 99 nt
Filed under: Myotis davidii
Lineage: Eukaryota; Metazoa; Chordata; Mammalia; Chiroptera; Vespertilionidae
Source: RNAcentral